Molecule: ribosomal RNA, 376 nt
Filed under: uncultured Ureaplasma sp.
Lineage: Bacteria; Bacillati; Mycoplasmatota; Mycoplasmoidales; Mycoplasmoidaceae
Description: bacterial SSU rRNA
Rfam family: Bacterial small subunit ribosomal RNA
Source: RNAcentral
CCGAAUAAUAACAUCAAUAUCGCAUGAGAAGAUGUAGAAAGUCGCGUUUGCGACGCUUUUGGAUGGGGGGUGCGACGUAUCAGAUAGUUGGUGAGGUAAAUGGGCUCACCAAGUCAAUGACGCGUAGCUGUACUGAGAGGUAGAACAGCCACAAUGGGGACUGAGACACGGCCCAUACUCCUACGGGAGGCAGCAGUAGGGUAAUUUUUCACAAUGGGCGAAAGCCUUAUGAAGCAAUGCCGCGUGAACGAUGAAGGUCUUAUAGAUUGUAAAGUUCUUUUAUAUGGGAAGAAACGCUAAGAUAGGAAAUGAUUUUAGUUUGACUGUACCAUUUGAAUAAGUAUCGGCUAACUAUGUGCCAGCAGCCGCGGUAAAU